Molecule: ribosomal RNA, 497 nt
Filed under: uncultured bacterium
Lineage: Bacteria
Description: partial 16S ribosomal RNA
Rfam family: Bacterial small subunit ribosomal RNA
Source: RNAcentral
GAUGAACGCUGGCGGCGUGCCUAAUACAUGCAAGUCGAGCGAACGGACGAGAAGCUUGCUUCUCUGAUGUUAGCGGCGGACGGGUGAGUAACACGUGGAUAACCUACCUAUAAGACUGGGAUAACUUCGGGAAACCGGAGCUAAUACCGGAUAAUAUUUUGAACCGCAUGGUUCAAAAGUGAAAGACGGUCUUGCUGUCACUUAUAGAUGGAUCCGCGCUGCAUUAGCUAGUUGGUAAGGUAACGGCUUACCAAGGCAACGAUGCAUAGCCGACCUGAGAGGGUAAUCGGCCACACUGGAACUGAGACACGGUCCAGACUCCUACGGGAGGCAGCAGUAGGGAAUCUUCCGCAAUGGGCGAAAGCCUGACGGAGCAACGCCGAGUGAGUGAUGAAGGUCUUCGGAUCGUAAAACUCUGUUAUUAGGGAAGAACAUAUGUGUAAGUAACUGUGCACAUCUUGACGGUACCUAAUCAGAAAGCCACGGCUAACUACGUG